This 253-nucleotide ribosomal RNA is filed under the name uncultured bacterium. RNAcentral's name for it is "partial 16S ribosomal RNA". It matches the Rfam family "Bacterial small subunit ribosomal RNA", at positions 524 to 776 of the family's 1533-position model. The record is from RNAcentral.
UACAGAGGGUGCAAGCGUUAAUCGGAAUUACUGGGCGUAAAGCGUGCGUAGGCGGUUAUUUAAGUCAGGUGUGAAAGCCCCGGGCUCAACCUGGGAAUUGCAUUUGAGACUGAAUAGCUAGGGUGCGGAAGAGGGAAGCGGAAUUUCCGGUGUAGCGGUGAAAUGCGUAGAUAUCUGGAGGAACACCGGUGGCGAAGGCGGCAUUCUGGACUACAACUGACACUGAGGAACGAAAGCCAGGGGAGCAAACGGG